AGACAACCAAUGCUGAACAUCAAACCAUUAUUCUACUGAAAUAAGAGACAAAGAUAAAGCUUAUCUUCAAAAAAAAAAAAGACAGACUCAUCAACUUUGAUCAGAUGUAGACAGAAGGACAUUUGGAGAUGCUAAGCUAA
Molecule: long non-coding RNA, 140 nt
Organism: Choloepus didactylus (southern two-toed sloth)
Lineage: Eukaryota; Metazoa; Chordata; Mammalia; Pilosa; Megalonychidae
Exons: 2
Source: RefSeq, a predicted model, not a curated record